CAAUAAUUUGUCCUGGUAUUCGCAAAUAUGUUGAGACGUUUCUAUUUCAAUAUUUUGGAAACAUAUAAUUAUUUUGUGAUUAGUCUUUUGAUAAACAGAUUAAGUAAUGGUGCAUAUGAGUGUGACGUAGAUUAUCAGCAGGUUGGCGAAACAUGUAUUAAGUGCCCGCCAGGGAGUUUUGGACAGAAUUGCUCGCAAAAGUGUAAAUAUCCAACAUAUGGUUUAUUGUGUGGUGGGACUUGUGACUGUUUACCUGAAGAAUGUAAUAGCAAAUCUGGAUGUAUUAAAUAAUCACAUGGAUGUUCUGUAGGAGUUCUUGAGGAUAUUAAUCAAAGAUGUUGCUCUUAUCAUCGGAAAGUAAAUAAGUGGUGAAAAACUUGUCCUAAUGGUUAUUUUCAGUCAAACUGUACUCCAUGUCCCUAUCCAUAUUAUGGACAUUUAUGUGCUGCAACAUGCAAUUGUUCGCAAUCUUAUUGCAAUCACGUGACUGGAUGUCAUUUUAUUACAGUUUCUGUCUCUCAACACCACCAAACAACGCUAAGGAAAACCAUUGAAGAUUCUAACUUCACAAUUUCUCAUCUACCAAUUGCAAAUAUAGACCAUUCAAAGAGAUUUGUCAUCAUUUCAGUCGGGACAGUAGUGAUAUGUAUGGUCAUCUUAUGUAUUGUCUAUGAGAUGCGAGUAUAUCGAAAAUAUUUGCAUAGAAAUGACAUGUCAAAUGAAGAGCAAACCGUUGAAGGCGUUUAUGCGGAUCUUAUUGAAGUUAAUGUUGAAGAUAAUAUAUAGUGGAGAAAAUUGAGA
Long non-coding RNA from Saccostrea cuccullata (small rock oyster), 801 nucleotides. RefSeq lists it as uncharacterized. The transcript is spliced from 7 exons. NCBI's taxonomy places the organism in Eukaryota, Metazoa, Mollusca, Bivalvia, Ostreida, Ostreidae. The record is from RefSeq and is a predicted model, not a curated record.